Non-coding RNA from Acidianus hospitalis W1, 308 nucleotides. The record is from Rfam. NCBI's taxonomy places the organism in Archaea, Thermoproteati, Thermoproteota, Thermoprotei, Sulfolobales, Sulfolobaceae.
GGGUCGGGUAGGGUGGGGAGUCCCGCCGCCUCCUGUUCCCGCAUGGCGUAAAGCGGGCACCAGUAACUCCUAUUCCACGACACGUGGCAGUCUACGGGCCGGGCCGAACAAUGAAGGCCGCCCAGUAGGGCUGGCGGCUAUGGUCUCCUCCUCUGGAGGGAGGAGGGGAACCAUACUUGCCGGGGGAAUCUGCUAGAUCCGGAAGGGGGCAGCAGUACCCGGACGUCAGCGCUUACUGGUCACCGGCCAGAGGUAGGCUCGGGGUAAACCCUAGGCUGUAGGCGGUCGUGGAAUAGGGGGUCCGACCC